GACGAACGCUGGCGGCGUGCUUAACACAUGCAAGUCGAACGGAAAGGCCCUGCUUUUGUGGGGUGCUCGAGUGGCGAACGGGUGAGUAACACGUGAGUAACCUGCCCUUGACUUUGGGAUAACUUCAGGAAACUGGGGCUAAUACCGGAUAGGAGCUCCUGCUGCAUGGUGGGGGUUGGAAAGUUUCGGCGGUUGGGGAUGGACUCGCGGCUUAUCAGCUUGUUGGUGGGGUAGUGGCUUACCAAGGCUUUGACGGGUAGCCGGCCUGGGAGGGUGACCGGCCACAUUGGGCCUGAGAUACGGCCCAGACUCCUACGGGAGGCAGCAGUGGGGAAUCUUGCCCAAUGGGCGGGAGCCUGAUGCAGCAGCGCCGCGUGCGGGAUGACGGCCUUCGGGUUGUAAACCGCUUUCGCCUGUGACGAAGCGUGAGUGACGGUAAUGGGUAAAGAAGCACCGGCUAACUACGUG
This 468-nucleotide ribosomal RNA is filed under the name uncultured bacterium. RNAcentral describes it as "partial 16S ribosomal RNA". It matches the Rfam family "Bacterial small subunit ribosomal RNA", at positions 28 to 507 of the family's 1533-position model. The record is from RNAcentral.